GGAGCUGUGCCUGAAUUAUAGGACCACUUUGAUAGAGUGAAACAUGUGGGAUAAAGACCCUCCAGCCCCU
Molecule: transfer RNA, 70 nt
Filed under: Zenion japonicum (Japanese dory)
Lineage: Eukaryota; Metazoa; Chordata; Actinopteri; Zeiformes; Zenionidae
Also listed under: 2 other names
Description: tRNA-Ile
Source: RNAcentral